UGCCCAAUGGUGUAAUGGCAGCACUUCUGACUCUGGAUCAGCCAGUCUAGGUUCGAAUCCUGGUUGGGCAA
RNAcentral lists this transfer RNA (71 nucleotides) under Bacteroidales bacterium. RNAcentral describes it as "tRNA-Gln". It matches the Rfam family "tRNA". From Rfam's summary of the family: Transfer RNA (tRNA) molecules are approximately 80 nucleotides in length. Their secondary structure includes four short double-helical elements and three loops (D, anti-codon, and T loops). The record is from RNAcentral. Lineage: Bacteria; Pseudomonadati; Bacteroidota; Bacteroidia; Bacteroidales.